Molecule: ribosomal RNA, 686 nt
Filed under: Faecalibacterium prausnitzii
Lineage: Bacteria; Bacillati; Bacillota; Clostridia; Eubacteriales; Oscillospiraceae
Description: bacterial SSU rRNA
Rfam family: Bacterial small subunit ribosomal RNA
Source: RNAcentral
UGAGGAAGAUAAUGACGGUACUCAACAAGGAAGUGACGGCUAACUACGUGCCAGCAGCCGCGGUAAAACGUAGGUCACAAGCGUUGUCCGGAAUUACUGGGUGUAAAGGGAGCGCAGGCGGGAAGACAAGUUGGAAGUGARAUCUAUGGGCUCAACCCAUAAACUGCUUUCAAAACUGUUUUUCUUGAGUAGUGCAGAGGUAGGCGGAAUUCCCGGUGUAGCGGUGGAAUGCGUAGAUAUCGGGAGGAACACCAGUGGCGAAGGCGGCCUACUGGGCACCAACUGACGCUGAGGCUCGAAAGUGUGGGUAGCAAACAGGAUUAGAUACCCUGGUAGUCCACACCGUAAACGAUGAUUACUAGGUGUUGGAGGAUUGACCCCUUCAGUGCCGCAGUUAACACAAUAAGUAAUCCACCUGGGGAGUACGACCGCAAGGUUGAAACUCAAAGGAAUUGACGGGGGCCCGCACAAGCAGUGGAGUAUGUGGUUUAAUUCGACGCAACGCGAAGAACCUUACCAAGUCUUGACAUCCUGCGACGAUGCURGAAAYAGUAUUUUCCUUCGGGACGCAGAGACAGGUGGUGCAUGGUUGUCGUCAGCUCGUGUCGUGAGAUGUUGGGUUAAGUCCCGCAACGAGCGCAACCCUUAUGGUCAGUUACUACGCAAGAGGACUCUGGCCAGACUGC